This 442-nucleotide ribosomal RNA is filed under the name uncultured bacterium. RNAcentral describes it as "partial 16S ribosomal RNA". It matches the Rfam family "Bacterial small subunit ribosomal RNA", at positions 338 to 795 of the family's 1533-position model. The record is from RNAcentral.
CCUACGGGAGGCAGCAGUGGGGAAUAUUGGGCAAUGGGCGAAAGCUUGACCCAGCAACGCCGCGUGAAGGAAGAAGGUUUUCGGGUUGUAAACUGCUUUUAAGAGGGAAGAGUAGAAGCCGUUACCUCUUAAAUAAGCCACGGCUAACUACGUCCCAGCACCCGGGGGAAUACGUAGGUGGCAGGCGUUGUCCGGAUUUACUGGGUGUAAAGGGCGUGUAGCCGGGCCGGCAAGUCAGUUGUGAAAUCCCAGGGCUCAACCUUGGAACUGCAUUUGAAACUGUUGGUCUUGAGUAUCGGAGAGGCAGGCGGAAUUCCUAGUGUAGCGGUGAAAUGCGUAGAUAUUAGGAGGAACACCAGUGGCGAAGGCGGCCUGCUGGACGACAACUGACGGUGAGGCGCGAAAGCGUGGGGAGCAAACAGGAUUAGAUACCCCGGUAGUC